This 253-nucleotide ribosomal RNA is filed under the name uncultured bacterium. RNAcentral's name for it is "partial 16S ribosomal RNA". It matches the Rfam family "Bacterial small subunit ribosomal RNA", at positions 524 to 776 of the family's 1533-position model. The record is from RNAcentral.
GACGAACCGUGCGAACGUUGUUCGGAAUCACUGGGCUUAAAGGGCGCGUAGGCGGGCGUUCAGGCCCGCGGUGAAAUCCCCCGGCUCAACCGGGGAAGUGCCGCGGGGACCGGACGUCUGGAGUGAGGUAGGGGCGUGCGGAACUGUGGGUGGAGCGGUGAAAUGCGUUGAUAUCCACAGGAACUCCGGUGGCGAAGGCGGCACGCUGGACCUCGACUGACGCUGAGGCGCGAAAGCCAGGGGAGCGAACGGG